RNAcentral lists this ribosomal RNA (246 nucleotides) under Burkholderiales bacterium 8X. RNAcentral describes it as "partial 16S ribosomal RNA". It matches the Rfam family "Bacterial small subunit ribosomal RNA", at positions 73 to 320 of the family's 1533-position model. Lineage: Bacteria; Pseudomonadati; Pseudomonadota; Betaproteobacteria; Burkholderiales. The record is from RNAcentral.
ACGGGAGCAAUCCUGGUGGCGAGUGGCGAACGCCCUUAGUAAUACAUCGGAACGUGCCCAAUCGUGGGGGAUAACGCACCUUAAAGCUGUGCUAAUACCGCAUGAGAUCUACGGAUGAAAGCAGGGGACCGCAAGGCCUUGCGCGAUUGGAGCGGCCGAUGGCAGAUUAGGUAGUUGGUGGGGUAAAGGCUCACCAAGCCUGCGAUCUGUAGCUGGUCUGAGAGGACGACCAUCCACACUGGGACU